This 396-nucleotide ribosomal RNA is filed under the name Pseudoalteromonas distincta. RNAcentral's name for it is "bacterial LSU rRNA". It matches the Rfam family "Bacterial large subunit ribosomal RNA", at positions 2553 to 2925 of the family's 2925-position model. The record is from RNAcentral. Lineage: Bacteria; Pseudomonadati; Pseudomonadota; Gammaproteobacteria; Alteromonadales; Pseudoalteromonadaceae.
CUGAAGUCGGUCCCAAGGGUAUGGCUGUUCGCCAUUUAAAGUGGUACGCGAGCUGGGUUUAGAACGUCGUGAGACAGUUCGGUCCCUAUCUGCCGUGGGCGUUUGAGAAUUGAGAGGGGUUGCUCCUAGUACGAGAGGACCGGAGUGAACGAACCGCUGGUGUUCGGGUUGUCAUGCCAAUGGCAUUGCCCGGUAGCUACGUUCGGAACUGAUAAGCGCUGAAAGCAUCUAAGCGCGAAGCAGGCCUCGAGAUGAGUUCUCACUAGACUUUUAAAGUCUCUGAAGGGCCGUUGAAGACUACAACGUUGAUAGGCAAGAUGUGGAAGUGGUGUGAGCCAUUAAGCUAACUUGUACUAAUUACCCGUGAGGCUUAACCAUACAACGCCAAACGCGUUU